UGCGGACUAUCAGGUUGUAGUCAGGGUAAUGACCUGACUAGCCCACGACGGAUACGGGUUGUGAGAGCAAUAACCCGGAGAUGAUAUCUGAGACACGAUAUCAGGCCCUACGGGGCGCAGCAGGCGCGAAAACUUCACAAUGUGGGAAACCUUUGAUGAGGGGAUUCCAAGUGCCAACACGGUGUGGGGGCGUGUUCACCUGCCUAAAAAGCUGGUGAAGUAAGGGCCGGGUAAGACGGGUGCCAGCCGCCGCGGUAAUACCCGCGGCCCGAGUGGUGGUCGUUAUUAUUGAGCCUAAAGCGACCGUAGCCCGGUUUGGUAAAUUUUUGGGUAAAUCGGGCAGCUUAACUGUCCGAAUUCCGGAAAGACUGCCAAACUUGGGACCCGGGGGAGGUUGGAGGUACUCCUGGGGUAGGGGUGAAAUCCUGUAAUCCUGGGGGGACCACCAGUGGCGAAGGCGUCCAACCCAAAACGGAUCCGACGGUAAGGGACGAAGCCCUGGGGCGCAAACGGGAUUAGAUACCCCGGUAGUCCAGGGUGUAAACGCUGCAGGCUUGGUGUUGGGGGUCCUACGAGGGCGCCCAGUGCCGGAGAGAAGUUGUUAAGCCUGCCGCUUGGGGAGUACGUCCGCAAGGAUGAAACUUAAAGGAAUUGGCGGGGGAGCACAGCAACGGGUGGAGCGUGCGGUUCAAUUGGAUUCAACGCCGUAGAACUCACCGGGAGCGACGGUUACAUGAAGGCCAGGCUGAUGACCUUGCCUGAUUUUCCGAGAGGUGGUGCAUGGCCGUCGUCAGUUCGUACCCCCCCGCCCCCUCCCUUAAGUCAGAUAACGAACGAGACCCUCAUCCUUAUUUGCAACUAUUCCUUUCGAGGUAUAGGCACUAUAAGGAGACCGCUGGCGCUAAGUCAGAGGAAGGAGAGGGCAACGGUAGGUCAGUAUGCCCCGAAUCUCCCGGGCAACACGCGCGCUACAAAGGGCUGGACAAUGAGUCUCGACACCGAAAGGUGAAGGUAAUUUCGAAACCAGCUCAUAGUCCGGAUCGAGGGCUGUAACCCGCCCUCGUGAAGCUGGAAUCGGUAGUAAUCGCGGGUCAACAUCCCGCGGUGAAUAUGCCCCUGCUCCUUGCACACACCGCCCGUCAAACCAUCC
This 1150-nucleotide ribosomal RNA is filed under the name uncultured archaeon. Its description in RNAcentral is "bacterial SSU rRNA". It matches the Rfam family "Archaeal small subunit ribosomal RNA", at positions 216 to 1363 of the family's 1478-position model. The record is from RNAcentral.